UUCACUGUCUACACACCUUGUUGGAUACCACGCAACGUCGAACGAAGCUCAUCGAAAAUAGUGUCAACUUUUGCAGAAAAUCGAAGCGUUAGUUUUUGUGCGUAAUGUGUGCUUUUAGUUGUUUCGCUAACCGGCGGUGGGUUAAAAAAUUGUGCUAGAAAUUCGGUUGCAUUGCGGUGUGGAGAAAAGGUACGGCAACAAGCGCUAGCGCUCUGCCCCAUUCACACAGCGCUUGAUUUCGUCCCAAUUUGGCUUGGCUGGCGGUGAACAAUUAUUGGGUACGGUACCGUUGGCUUGCAUGAUGGUAGGGUCCGAGUGACUCCGGAGGUGCAUUUAUUCGGGGCGCUUCAUCUGCAAGCGCGUACGUGGAUGCGAUCGGAAGCAUAAAUUGUGGUGGCUAUUCGCGCGCGCCAAUUCGCAACUUGAUUGAUAAUCUUUCGGGAACAGGGUGAGCUACAUUUUCACAAUACCGCCGAGAGCGACAUCUAGCGUCGUUCAAUCGCGUUCAAAGUACGCCGCCGUCACUUCUAGACGGGCCACUGUGGAGAAGAAGAUAAACAAAACAAUCCGUCGGAACUACGAGAAAAGCGAGCGCCAGAACUCCCGCAAAGUGCGGAGCCCACAGGCCCAGCCGUCGCUAAAAGUCGAUUAUUUGAGAUACGCUCGAGACAAAAAGUUUCAGGUCCCGUUUUUUUUCUGUGUCCCAGCCCGUUGUUACUCUCGUCGAUUGUUUCGCAAGCGAGAAAGGUAAGAGAAAAUCAGAAAAAGCAGUCACAUCUAGACGGUCCGCUGGUGGUGCAGAGAAGAAGAAAGCAACCCGUCGGAACUACCAUAAAAACAAGUGCCAGCAUUAUUCCCGCACAGAGCAGCAGAGCCUACAGGCCCAGCUAUCGCAUACGGUCCAUUAUUUGAAGUACGCCUGGGAUAAAAAGUUUCAGCCUGUUGUUACUCUCGUCGAUUGUUUGGCAAGCGAGAAAGACAUCAACAUGCCACGAUUGAAAAAGCGUGUCGAUGAGGAGCCCGUUGUGGUGUCGAGGCAUAGAGAAAUUCCGGAAACGUUAACGGCGGGCAGAUCGCGCCGCACGAUAAAGCCCAAUCCGAAGUACAUGAACGAUGAAAUGCUCAUACCUACGCGGAGCGCUAUCGAGGAGGAUAACGACAUGAGCGGUGAUGAGUACAUCGUGGAUUACGAGGAGAACGAUGAUCCGGAAGAUUCUGGGCUGGUCAUUCGGAAGUCGGUAGUCACUUCCACGCCGCAGACGGCGGAUGGGCAACCGAAGCGACGUGGUCGCCCACCGAAGCCCAAAAAUCUGGACGCUCCGCGCACGGAGCCGGUGAAAAACCUUCGCAAGGAGGUGUUGAAAAAGAUGGAUUACAAAACGAUCAGCAUUAGCAAAUCGCGGCACAUGGCGGCACAGUUUCUUGACGGAAGGCGCAGGCUGAAUUUGACCGUAGAAUCCAAUGAUGGUGACUCCGCCGAUCAGGAGGAAAUGGACGAUAUGGAAAUGGAAGAGCAUUCCCACGCCAGCUCGGAACAUGCAGCAAGUCGCUCGCAGAAGAUCUACAAUGCGGCUUCUUUGAAGAAACAUUUGCUCGGCAAAAUCACCGACCGCCGUAGCAGCAUGCCCAACCGACAGCCGGUUCAUGACGGCACAACCGAAGAGGACGAAUACGAGGACGAGGGAGAAUAUUUUGACGAUAGCGACGCAAAGCUGAGCGAAUCUGAACCAGCCCAAAAGGUUAAGCGCCCGGUGGGAAGACCCCGCAAGCAUCCGCUCAAGCAGGUAUCCCCGUUCGGCGGCAAAGUGUUGCUACCGGGGAUGAAAACCACCACCAGCAGCACUCCUGUCGUUAAGCGCAAAGCGAUGGAAAUGGCCGAAGAAAUUAAGCAGGAAUCGCAACAAUCGAAAAUGUUGCGCCGCUCGUACGGAGUGAAAAGCGUGGGUGGUGGUGGUGGUGGUGGUGGUGGUGGUGGUGCAUCGAGCCAAUCGGCCGAAAUGGAAUCGGACGAAAAUAGUGAGGCGCGAGGAAAGCAACUUAACCGAUCUGCCUCAUUCCAGAACUUGGGCCGCGGUCGUCCCCCUAAAAGUGCGUACCAAUCCGGCGGUGGUCAGCUCAGCACCAAGUCGGAACGGAACGUCUCGCAAGGGAAUCGCUCGUUUCCCGAAGUUAAAUCGUCCAAACCUACGAUAACGAUCGUCAAUGUGAACGAUAUUAUGAAGAUGAAUUCCAAAAGCGCUACCGACCUGAGGCGAAAGCUGGAAGAAGAGGCCGACUCAGAGGACGUGUCCGAGGUUGAGGAGCAGCAGACCGGCGGCCGCACGCAGGAUGAUGCGAAAACGAACAAUCAGCUGGUGGCAUCCAUCCUGGAACGGAAACGACCCAUCGCGCUAGAGCAUCUGCAGGGCGUCCGCAGACGAGACGAGCUGGUACGUAACAGAGUAGUAGAGUUGAAACCGAAGCGUGCCGGUAGGGACGUUUCGGAAAUGCUUACAGAAGAAGAUAUCGUUGACUUCGAGGAUGUCUUGCAGAAGAACAUUGUGAGCGCGAACAAGGGCGCCCGCUCGAUUACGAUCGGUGCGGUGCGUGGGCGUGGACGGCCGCCGUCACAUUCGCCACAGGAUGAAAACUACAGCGGUAGUUACGGUUCGCCCAACGCCAAGCGGUACCCACAGCAGGGCAAUCGGCAGAGCGUGGGAAAACCCGUCGCCACUACAAGACGCUCAUUGCAACCGCCCCGAAUACUGAACGCGACAAUGAAGCUGGGCGAUAACCAUCCCCGCUCGAAGAUGUCCAGCGGGUCGGGCGAUAAUCACUAUUCGAUCGACCUGUCCGAUCCGGACAACAACGUGAAGCUGGUGGCUUCCUCGAACGAAAAUUCGCCCAUCAAACGAUCGCCCGCUUCGAGCGGUCCGGUUGCAACGACACUCAGCCAAAAGCCGGUCGCUGGCACUGUUGCGAAACCAUUGGCGGGAGGGCGGGAGCGGGCGCGCUCGCCAUUGGAAGCGAAAAAGAAGCGUGUCACCGUGUACGAGACAUGGAACGUGCUGCAAAUCAAAUCGAUCGACUCUUCGCAAAAACUACCCCAUCUGGCCCUGUCCAUGAUUAGCCUCGGCAAUAUCGCCGACGACAUCAAGUUGCCAUCAUCUGCCUGGGCGUACCGUACGACGGUGGAAGAGCGCAAGGUACCGCCGGCGGACGGGGACGAAGUGUUCAUCGGCAAGACAGCGGAUCUCACUAUCAAGGAGGAAGACAAAAUAAGGUACGAACCGAACAAGAUCAUAUUCCGCCGGAAGGCCGCCUCGCCCGGGCGCUUCAAUGUGCAGUUCGAUCGUUUGGUCACGUUCUGCAACGACACGUACAAGCUCAACGUGGACGGGCAGAGCUGCAAGCUGAUGGGCGCACCGAGCCGGCUGGAAACGGUCGAAGACAUCGAAACGUUGCUGAUGAUAGUCGACUUUGUGGAUCUUAAAAAUGGUUGUCUCGAAUUGCCACCAUCCGCACGGAUGGUGGCGAGGGAUUCUGCGGUAGCUACCAAGCGGUUCGUUGGUAGCAAGGAUCCAGUCAUAAUUUAAGCGUGCCGCAAAGAGGCGCACACUAGCGCAAACACGCAACGGGAACAACGUGGAUAUGGGACCGGGACAUGCAACGCGCGACGCAAAAACACCCGCACGAAACAGGCCCAACACAGGGGCCGUUGUUGUUACAUUUGUUAUGUUUUGUACAAAUGUUUAAGAUCGCUUCAGUUCAUCAAACUCUAUUCGCUAUUGUUUCGGCGGUCCUCGGUCGAUGCAUGAUAUCUUACAAGCUGUGCCUGUUUUAGAAACCGACGAAAAUCAACAAAAAUCGCACGUGAAGAAAAAUGAAGCCGGGUGUGCUUAUGGGUAGAAUAUUUAGAGAGUAAUAGUAUAUAGCAGUACACGCGCACACACACACACACGUACUCAGAGACAGCUCCAUGCCGCAUAAACGAUGCAGGUGGAGAUGCAUCCUUCCCCAUGAUGUACACAGUAUCACUGUGUAAAGAGAAAAGCUGCGGAGAAAAUGCUCCAUUUUAUCUACAGCCUUUAUGAAAAAGCAAGUUUUUGAUCACACAAAAACACACACACACACCUCUAACACGACGCGUAUAUAUAUAUACAUGUAAGCUAUAAAAAAUAUGGUUCGUUAGCAAAAAUAUGGUAGCAACGAUACCGUUUGAACCUUUUUAUUUCAAUUUUGUUAGCCGACUAUAAUGAAUUCAAAUAAAUCAGAAUAAAACCA
Molecule: RNA transcript, 4263 nt
Organism: Anopheles stephensi (Asian malaria mosquito)
Lineage: Eukaryota; Metazoa; Arthropoda; Insecta; Diptera; Culicidae
Exons: 5
Source: RefSeq, a predicted model, not a curated record